UUAUUGGCUGCUAAACUCACUCCAGUGGUGGGCAGCUGGGCAAAAGGCCCUGAAAAUUUCUCUUUUCUCAAAAUUCAGCCUUAAGUAAAUUUACCCUAUGACCUGCCAUGGGGGAUUAGGAUGGGCUGGCCAGGCCAGGCUAGGUGGCCUGAUUUUCCCAUUCAGCUUCUGACCUGGUCUUCUGAAAGUCAGACUCUGGCCCUCUUCAUUAGCCAGCCCAAGUCCUUGCCCCUGGGAAUGCAGGGUGGCUGGCUGUGUAGGUGUUGAUCUCAUUAGCGAUAAUUAGAGGGCAGAGCUCAGGGAACAAGUUAUGAAACCUGCAAACUAGGAUCUGGCACAUCUCCCAGCCGUAGUAGAGUUUAUAAACUCAAUUGUCAGCCACCUUGUAAGAUCGAAGAGUAUCGGCCUAUGUGACCUGUGGCCAGAAGAGGGAGCUCUUUGCCUAUCCUUAGCAGGGGCAGUGGCCUGAUUCACACUAAUGGGACUGGUGCAUCUGCAAAACUUCCCCAAGUGGUGAAAAUGCCACAGUAACGUACGACCUGCAAUUUGGGGUUCCAUCAGAUGAU
RNAcentral lists this small RNA (566 nucleotides) under Pongo abelii (Sumatran orangutan). RNAcentral describes it as "processed transcript". The record is from RNAcentral. Lineage: Eukaryota; Metazoa; Chordata; Mammalia; Primates; Hominidae.